CGGCGGACGGGUGAGUAAUGUCUGGGAAACUGCCUGAUGGAGGGGGAUAACUACUGUAAACGGUAGCUAAUACCGCAUAACGUCGCAAGACCAAAGAGGGGGACCUUCGGGCCUCUUGCCAUCAGAUGUGCCCAGAUGGGAUUAGCUAGUAGGUGGGGUAACGGCUCACCUAGGCGACGAUCCCUAGCUGGUCUGAGAGGAUGACCAGCCACACUGGAACUGAGACACGGUCCAGACUCCUACGGGAGGCAGCAGGG
RNAcentral lists this ribosomal RNA (257 nucleotides) under uncultured Enterobacter sp. Its description in RNAcentral is "partial 16S ribosomal RNA". It matches the Rfam family "Bacterial small subunit ribosomal RNA", at positions 96 to 354 of the family's 1533-position model. The record is from RNAcentral. Lineage: Bacteria; Pseudomonadati; Pseudomonadota; Gammaproteobacteria; Enterobacterales; Enterobacteriaceae.